AACGAACGCUGGCGGCAUGCCUAACACAUGCAAGUCGAACGAGACCUUCGGGUCUAGUGGCGCACGGGUGCGUAACGCGUGGGAACCUGCCCUUAGGUUCGGAAUAACCCCCCGAAAGGGGUGCUAAUACCGGAUAAGGUCUUCGGACCAAAGAUUUAUCGCCUUUGGAUGGGCCCGCGUUGGAUUAGCUAGUUGGUAGGGUAAAAGCCUACCAAGGCGACGAUCCAUAGCUGGUCUGAGAGGAUGAUCAGCCACACUGGGACUGAGACACGGCCCAGACUCCUACGGGAGGCAGCAGUGGGGAAUCUUGGACAAUGGGCGAAAGCCUGAUCCAGCAAUGCCGCGUGAGUGAUGAAGGCCUUAGGGUUGUAAAGCUCUUUUACCCGGGAUGAUAAUGACAGUACCGGGAGAAUAAGCUCCGGCUAACUCCGUG
Molecule: ribosomal RNA, 433 nt
Filed under: uncultured bacterium
Lineage: Bacteria
Description: partial 16S ribosomal RNA
Rfam family: Bacterial small subunit ribosomal RNA
Source: RNAcentral